RNAcentral lists this long non-coding RNA (215 nucleotides) under Brassica napus (rape). Its description in RNAcentral is "long non-coding RNA (BNAP_LNC008548)". Lineage: Eukaryota; Viridiplantae; Streptophyta; Magnoliopsida; Brassicales; Brassicaceae. The record is from RNAcentral.
UUACCACCACUAAAGAGACAUUUUCAAAAAUACAUUCUUUAUUAAGUGGCAAAAGACUUUUAUACUCUUUUUUUAUAUAUAUGUAUAAUAAAUAAAUAAAAAAAGAAAAUAAAAAUUAAUUUUUAUGCUUUUCAAUUAUAAUUUUACAAAUUUGAAGUUCUUAUAAAAAAAAUCAAAUUUUUUUUUGAAAAUUGCUUUUCGCUGUUUUUUUUUUU